This 19-nucleotide ribosomal RNA is filed under the name Philodendron malesevichiae. RNAcentral's name for it is "partial 18S ribosomal RNA". Lineage: Eukaryota; Viridiplantae; Streptophyta; Magnoliopsida; Alismatales; Araceae. The record is from RNAcentral.
CUGCCAGUAGUCAUAUGCU